Molecule: unclassified non-coding RNA, 254 nt
Filed under: air metagenome
Description: partial contains small subunit ribosomal RNA, internal transcribed spacer 1, and 5.8S ribosomal RNA
Rfam family: Eukaryotic small subunit ribosomal RNA (bases 1-46)
Source: RNAcentral
AAGUCGUAACAAGGUUUCCGUAGGUGAACCUGCGGAAGGAUCAUUAAUGAAUUAUAAGCACGGGUUGUUGCUGGCCUCCAGGGGCAUGUGCACAUCUGAGCCUUUAAUCCACACACACCUGUGAACUCUCUGUGGGACGUCUUUCGGGACGCUCUCAUGUCUUUAUAUACACACUCGAGAAUGUCUUAGAAUGUCAACUUAUGUUGCUUUACGCAAUUUAUAUACAACUUUCAACAACGGAUCUCUUGGCUCUC